Molecule: ribosomal RNA, 777 nt
Filed under: uncultured Neocallimastigales
Lineage: Eukaryota; Fungi; Neocallimastigomycota; Neocallimastigomycetes; Neocallimastigales
Description: partial large subunit ribosomal RNA
Rfam family: Eukaryotic large subunit ribosomal RNA
Source: RNAcentral
UAUAUCAGUCAUGCAUAGCAUAUCAAUAAGCGGAGGAAAAGAAACUAACAAGGAUUCCCUUAGUAACGGCGAGUGAAGCGGGAAGAGCUCAAAUUUGAAAUCUUCAAGGUUCCUACCUUGACGAAUUGUAGUUUAUAGAAGUGUUUUCUGUUAGUGGAGUGGCAAAAGUUCUUUGGAAUAGGACAUCAUAGAGGGUGAGAAUCCCGUAUUUGGUCAUUCCUCCUAGCGUUGUGAUACACUUUCAACGAGUCGGAUUGUUUGGGAAUGCAGUCCAAAAUGGGUGGUAAAUUUCAUCUAAAGCUAAAUAUUGGCGAGAGACCGAUAGCGAACAAGUACCGUGAGGGAAAGAUGAAAAGAACUUUGAAAAGAGAGUUAAACAGUACGUGAAAUUGUCAAAAGGGAAGCGUUUGACACCAGUGUUGUUUUUCCGAAAAUCAAUUACGAAUGUUUUGUUUUUGAGAAGUUAUGACUUCAUCGGCUCGCUCUCUUCUUUAUGAAACUUUCUUAAUGCACUUUUCGGUUAACAAGUCAACAUCAAUUUCUUUUGUUGUAAAAGGGUAUGAGGAAGGUGGCUUUCUUUUCGGAGAAAGUGUUUAUAGCCUUGUACCUCUGCAAUCGGAGAGAUUGAGGUCUGCAGCGUAGAUCCUUCGGGGUUAGAUACAUUUGUGCUAAGUUAUAGCUUUUCAUAGACAACUUGUUGACUAUGUUUAGUCUUGUAGCUUACUCGCUUACUGCUAUUUUACCUACGCUUAGGAUGUUGAUCUCUCACAGUCGAGC